GGAGGGGCAGAGACUUGAGGAAGACAGCUGACAACAACCUCUGCCCUCUACAUAUAUGUCCACCUGCAAGUAGAACCCAUGGAAAUACCAGUUGUUGGAGAAGCUGUUCCCUGAAGAAGGAUAAGAAACUAGGAUUUCAGCACACUUCCUAAGAUGCAGUAUAUGAACUCUCCCACUGAGUCAGGCUAUAUUGGCCCCAUCUGUGACCUCAGGCAACAGUGGUAAAUACUGGGAACACAAAAGAAAAAGGUGAAUCUCUUCGAAUCCCCCAUGUUAAUGCACCCAGAUGGUCAUGGUGCUCUCUGAGGUAGGUGUGUCAUCUGGAAAGGAACCAGGGCUCUCAGUCACUUCUGAAUCGCAGACCUGCAGAUAAACAGUGAGGGCUGGAACAGCAGGAACAACCUCCAGAGAUGGACUGGACGGGAAGUGCUUUUGCAAUGCUCACCUGCAGUCUGUCUGCUGCCUUCAAUGCACUCACUGUGCAAACAGCCCUCAAAGUGAAACCUUUUCCAAACAGACCCUUUCUUUGGAAGAAAUACCACUUGUAUAUUAAAGCAAAUUCUAUAAGGAGAUGGAUAAGAAGUAGCAAGAACAAUCCCAGAGGAGAAGAGAGGGGAUGACAUGAUUAGAAGAUGAAGGAGACUUUUUAUAAUGAUACCAUCGGUGUGGGGGAACUACCUCAUUGAAUAACAUAUAGAUAGUAAUCAAGCCUGGCUACAGUGACCUGAAGGAUCCACAACGGCCUUUUAAAACAAGACUGUUAGGAACAUAAAAGUUGAUUAAACAAGAAACUACUGAUGGGUGCCAGUUGCCUCCUUCCCUUUCGUCCUUCUUGUUCUUUUCUGUGGCAUGUAGGAUCAGAGCCACAGUCUUCACUGCCUAAGCGAGCAUCACAUUACUAAGUUACACAUGUAGACCAGCUCUGCAAUGUCAUCUACCUUACGGACCACUGCUCCGCACCAUUCCGGUCUGCCUGCUGCCAUGCUUCCUACCAUAACAGCCACGGACUAACCCGCUUCAGCAAUGAG
Molecule: long non-coding RNA, 1028 nt
Organism: Mus musculus (house mouse)
Lineage: Eukaryota; Metazoa; Chordata; Mammalia; Rodentia; Muridae
Product: predicted gene, 54145
Exons: 3
Source: RefSeq, a predicted model, not a curated record